Small nucleolar RNA from Etheostoma cragini (Arkansas darter), 83 nucleotides. RefSeq annotates it as small nucleolar RNA SNORD11B. NCBI's taxonomy places the organism in Eukaryota, Metazoa, Chordata, Actinopteri, Perciformes, Percidae. The transcript has a single exon. The record is from RefSeq and is a predicted model, not a curated record.
GCCAAGCGGUGAUGAUGACGACAUAAUGUCUCUUUCCUGAUAAUGACUGAUGGUUUUAAGUCACUACCUCAUCUGAGCUUGUG